This 72-nucleotide transfer RNA is filed under the name Nonomuraea soli. Its description in RNAcentral is "Nonomuraea sp. YIM 120770 tRNA". It matches the Rfam family "tRNA". Rfam says of the family: Transfer RNA (tRNA) molecules are approximately 80 nucleotides in length. Their secondary structure includes four short double-helical elements and three loops (D, anti-codon, and T loops). Further hydrogen bonds mediate the characteristic L-shaped molecular structure. tRNAs have two regions of fundamental functional importance: the anti-codon, which is responsible for specific mRNA codon recognition, and the 3' end, to which the tRNAs corresponding amino acid is attached (by aminoacyl-tRNA synthetases). tRNAs cope with the degeneracy of the genetic code in two manners: having more than one tRNA (with a specific anti-codon) for a particular amino acid; and 'wobble' base-pairing, i.e. permitting non-standard base-pairing at the 3rd anti-codon position. RNAcentral also lists the same sequence under 1 other name. The record is from Rfam by way of RNAcentral. Lineage: Bacteria; Bacillati; Actinomycetota; Actinomycetes; Streptosporangiales; Streptosporangiaceae.
GGACGGUUAGCUCAGCGGUAGAGCAUCCGCCUUACAAGCGGAGGGUCACUGGUUCGAACCCAGUACCGUCCA